UACAUAGGGGCCAAGCGUUGUCCGGAUUUACUGGGCGUAAAGGGCUCGUAGGCGGUGAUCUAAGUCAGAAUUAAAAGGCAGAGGCUUAACCUCUGUUCGGUUCUGAAACUGGAUUGCUAGAGAUUUGGAGAGGAAAGUGGAAUUAACAGUGUAGCGGUGAAAUGCGUAGAUAUUGUUAAGAACACCCGUGGCGAAGGCGGCUUUCUGGCCAAAAUCUGACGCUGAGGAGCGAAAGCGUGGGGAGC
Molecule: ribosomal RNA, 245 nt
Filed under: uncultured bacterium
Lineage: Bacteria
Description: partial 16S ribosomal RNA
Rfam family: Bacterial small subunit ribosomal RNA
Source: RNAcentral